This is a long non-coding RNA of Nymphalis io (European peacock), 573 nucleotides long. RefSeq lists it as uncharacterized. The transcript is spliced from 3 exons. The record is from RefSeq and is a predicted model, not a curated record. NCBI's taxonomy places the organism in Eukaryota, Metazoa, Arthropoda, Insecta, Lepidoptera, Nymphalidae.
UCUACUUAAUUGUGGAUAUGCAAACAAUCUUGUUGUUCCAUUUCUGUUUUUCUCAAAUUUUACUCUCAAUUCUCGUCGAUUAUUGAAGUGCCGCUUGAGAAGUUACAAUUGAAAAAAUAUGUUUUUAAUGUGAUUUACUAUCCUGUUUAUAGUUUUGUUAAAAUAAUCAUUUUUAUUGCCAUUUUUCAGUAUGAAGAAAUAGUGAGCGAGUGUAAUAUAUAUGGCAAGAUGAAAAUAUGCCACGUUUAUCCAUCAACCCGUAUCACAGCAGCAUUGUUAAGCUUCUAACCUCAAAAAGGAGAGGAGGCCUUUGCCCAGCAGUGGAACAGGCUGUUAUUUUAAAGACCUUUUGCUCUCCACUGCUGGACGAAAGCCGCCCAUAGAACGCCAACCAUCCCGAUCUUGGGCAGUCCGCAUCAUAUAAAUAUCAUGGGAGUAGUUAUUAUAUGCCACAACAGCUGGACGCCAAUGUGGUACCUGUUAACAUAUACCAAUGUUCCCUUAGUUAACGAAAUUCGACAAAAAUAAUUAUUGAAAAUUUUAGAAAAACAUAUAUCAAUUUGCUACUUGUUU